CCUACGGGAGGCAGCAGUGAGGAAUAUUGGUCAAUGGACGAGAGUCUGAACCAGCCAAGUAGCGUGAAGGAUGACUGCCCUAUGGGUUGUAAACUUCUUUUAUAUGGGAAUAAAAUGUUCCACGUGUGGGAUUUUGUAUGUACCAUAUGAAUAGGGUCGGGCUAAUCCCGUGCCAGCAGCCGGGGUAAUACGGAGGUCCCGGGCGUUAUCCGGAUUUAUUGGGUUUAAAGGGAGCGUAGGUGGAUUGUUAAGUCAGUUGUGAAAGUUUGCGGCUCAACCGUAAAAUUGCAGUUGAAACUGGCAGUCUGGAGUACAGUAGAGGUGGGCGGAAUUCGUGGUGUAGCGGUGAAAUGCUUAGAUAUCACGAAGAACUCCGAUUGCGAAGGCAGUUCACUGGACUGCAACUGACACUGAGGCUCGAAAGUGUGGGUAUCAAACAGGAUUAGAUACCCUUGUAGUC
RNAcentral lists this ribosomal RNA (460 nucleotides) under uncultured bacterium. Its description in RNAcentral is "partial 16S ribosomal RNA". It matches the Rfam family "Bacterial small subunit ribosomal RNA", at positions 338 to 795 of the family's 1533-position model. The record is from RNAcentral.